This 116-nucleotide ribosomal RNA is filed under the name Klebsiella ornithinolytica. Lineage: Bacteria; Pseudomonadati; Pseudomonadota; Gammaproteobacteria; Enterobacterales; Enterobacteriaceae. The record is from RNAcentral.
CCUGGCGGCGAUAGCGCGGUGGUCCCACCUGACCCCAUGCCGAACUCAGAAGUGAAACGCCGUAGCGCCGAUGGUAGUGUGGGGUCUCCCCAUGUGAGAGUAGGGAACUACCAGGC